RNAcentral lists this long non-coding RNA (2410 nucleotides) under Homo sapiens (human). RNAcentral describes it as "HSALNT0069997". Lineage: Eukaryota; Metazoa; Chordata; Mammalia; Primates; Hominidae. The record is from RNAcentral.
GCUGCCUCUGCUGAGUCAUGCAGGUUGUCAGGGAAGUGGGGGAAAGCGAGCAGUCGCAGGCUUCACCCAACUCCCACACAAUCUGAAGGGCUGGUCUCACUCCCAUUGUGCCACCCCCAACAGCACUGUCUAUUUCCAGGCAGUGGGUGAGCAGGGCUUAAGAACUUGUCCCAGGCUGCCCGCCUCCCAGCCGUGAGAUAAAAGGGCUCUGGUUCUUCCCCCACCUGUGGAGUCUGCAUGCUAGAUUUACACCCUCCCCUGAGUUCUGGCCAGGAGGCCUCUCACCUGGUUCAAAUUGUUACAACGUUCAGCUGGAGACCUCCUACUCCCUGUGGUUAUCUCCCCGCACCUCUGGCCACCCUCCCGAAAGGAUCCCUGUGGUGCCAGGCAGGAAUGGCCUGCCUGGGGACCCAGCAAGCUCCCAGGGCCCUUCCCACUGCCUCCUCCACCCCUGCAUUUCACUCAGCUCUCUAAGUUGACUCAGCUCCAGGUAAGGAUACAGUGAGAAGACAGCCGUCUGCAAUCAGGAAGGGGACUCUCACCAGACAACAAGUCUUCCAGCACCUUUAUCUUGGACUUCCAGCCUCCAGAAUUAUGACAAGUUGUGCCUCUUUGAGACAGGCUGUCCCAGUCACACUGGGGGAAACUGAGGCAGAUCAGUGGAUGGAGGAUGAAUAAACUGCAGGCCAGGGAGUGCUUUCUUUCUGAAAGAGUCUUUAAUUAUACAAUUGAUGUGUUGGUGGUAGAUGGCCUAAUAGGAACAGCUCUGGUCUGCAGCUUCCAGCGUGAUCGACACAGAAGAUGGGUGAUUUCAACAUUUCCAACUGAGGUAUUCACCUUCAGUUUUCCAAGACGAUGGAAAGCACCACUGGUGCAUGUAGUUAACAGCAGCUUGACUCAGACACAGAACUGCAGCCAGGGCCCAUCUGUUCCCAUCACUCCUACUGCCAGUUUUACAACCAGAACUAGAGUGAUUUAUCCAUCUCAGUUUGCUCAGGACUCAGCAGAAGAGGAUCCUGGGACACAAGACUUUCAGUGCUCAAACUUGGAGAGUUCAAGACUUUCAGUGCUCAAACUUGGAGAGUCCUUGGCAAUCACAGUUUGACUAUGACUGAGAAGAUUCCCAGAAAGAAGGACUUUUAAUUCUAAAACUGAGAAAGUCCCAGGGCAUGAGUUGUUCACCUUAUUUGCAACCAACUUCUAAUUCAUCAUGAGGGCUUUGCAUAAACUUAUGCUUUAGGACUAGUAGAGUCAGUCAUUGCUUCAAAUUAAGUAGUGUGGCAAAAGUCUGUUAUUUUUCAGGAAAAAUUAAUGUCUGAUUGUGUUAAUCCUGGUUGCAAUAACUUAUCUCAUUUCCCCACUUUCCUGUGGAAAAAUUCCCAAUUUCUCAACCUGGCAUAUUAAGCAGCUGAAAAGUGGCCUAUGCCUUCAUCCCUGUCACUAUCUCCCUCCACUUGCCACCAUGCCCCAGUCUCUCUGAACUUUGUCAUUCUCCUUCAAGACUGGUGAUAUGGCUUGGCUGUGUCCCCACCCAAAUCUCAUCUUGAAUUGUAGCUCCCCUAAUCCACAAGUGUUGUGAGAGGGAUCCAGUGGGAGGUAAUUGAAUCAUGGGGAUGGGAUUUUCCUGUGCUGUUCUCGUGAUAGUGAAUAAGUCUCAUGAGAUCUGAUAGUUUUAUAAAGGGCAGUUCCCCUGCAUACACUGUCUUGCCUGCCACCAUGUAAGAUGUGCCUUUGCUCCUCCUUUGUCUUCUGCCAUGAUUGUGAGGCCUCCCCAGCCAUGUGGAACUGUGAGUCAUUAAACUUCCUUUCCUUUAUAAAUUACCCAGUCUUGGGUAUUUCUUCAUAGCUGUACAAAAACUGGAGACCUGAGAAAAUAGACAUUUUUUCAUCCCAGAUUCUUUCUUUCCCUGUCUCCCUUACUGCUUCCAUCCAUUCAGCAUAGUCAUGUAAGAAAACUCAAGCAUCACUGACUCUGAAUAACUGUUUUCAUCUUCCUCAAGAAGUUAUCUCCCUAUCCUUUAAGCUCAACUAAUGCUUUGUUUAUAUCUUUAAAAUAGAAUUGAUUACGUACUAUAUCAAAUACAUAUGCUUUAUACCUGUCUCCUUUACUAGACUAUUUCUCUAUUUAGUAGACUUACUUCUCAACAGUGAUAACUUAUUUUUCUUUUUAUCUCUAGUGCUUAAUCUCUUGCCUGGUGUACAAUAAAAUUUGUUGUAUGAACAUCUGAGUGGAUACAUUUUUAUACAUUUUAAACAGAUGGGAAAACUGAAGCUUAGAGUGGUUAAAUGAUUUCACCAAGAUCAAUAGCUAGGAAAUGACUGAAACGGGGCUUGAACCAAAGUCUUCCAAAUCUGACACCCAUGCAUUCAUCACCCCCUCAUUUGUAUACAUGGGUUACCAAUAACACAC